This 2929-nucleotide ribosomal RNA is filed under the name Salmonella enterica subsp. enterica serovar Heidelberg. RNAcentral describes it as "23S ribosomal RNA". It matches the Rfam family "Bacterial large subunit ribosomal RNA". The record is from RNAcentral. RNAcentral also lists the same sequence under 1 other name. Lineage: Bacteria; Pseudomonadati; Pseudomonadota; Gammaproteobacteria; Enterobacterales; Enterobacteriaceae.
GGGUUGUGAGGUUAAGCGACUAAGCGUACACGGUGGAUGCCCUGGCAGUCAGAGGCGAUGAAGGACGUGCUAAUCUGCGAUAAGCGCCGGUAAGGUGAUAUGAACCGUUAUAACCGGCGAUUUCCGAAUGGGGAAACCCAGUGUGAUUCGUCACACUAUCAUUAACUGAAUCCAUAGGUUAAUGAGGCGAACCGGGGGAACUGAAACAUCUAAGUACCCCGAGGAAAAGAAAUCAACCGAGAUUCCCCCAGUAGCGGCGAGCGAACGGGGAGGAGCCCAGAGCCUGAAUCAGCAUGUGUGUUAGUGGAAGCGUCUGGAAAGGCGCGCGAUACAGGGUGACAGCCCCGUACACAAAAGCGCAUGUGCUGUGAGCUCGAUGAGUAGGGCGGGACACGUGGUAUCCUGUCUGAAUAUGGGGGGACCAUCCUCCAAGGCUAAAUACUCCUGACUGACCGAUAGUGAACCAGUACCGUGAGGGAAAGGCGAAAAGAACCCCGGCGAGGGGAGUGAAAAAGAACCUGAAACCGUGUACGUACAAGCAGUGGGAGCACAGGUUUACCUGUGUGACUGCGUACCUUUUGUAUAAUGGGUCAGCGACUUAUAUUCUGUAGCAAGGUUAACCGUAUAGGGGAGCCGUAGGGAAACCGAGUCUUAACCGGGCGUUAAGUUGCAGGGUAUAGACCCGAAACCCGGUGAUCUAGCCAUGGGCAGGUUGAAGGUUGGGUAACACUAACUGGAGGACCGAACCGACUAAUGUUGAAAAAUUAGCGGAUGACCUGUGGCUGGGGGUGAAAGGCCAAUCAAACCGGGAGAUAGCUGGUUCUCCCCGAAAGCUAUUUAGGUAGCGCCUCGUGAAUUCAUCUCCGGGGGUAGAGCACUGUUUCGGCUAGGGGGCCAUCCCGGCUUACCAACCCGAUGCAAACUGCGAAUACCGGAGAAUGUUAUCACGGGAGACACACGGCGGGUGCUAACGUCCGUCGUGAAGAGGGAAACAACCCAGACCGCCAGCUAAGGUCCCAAAGUCAUGGUUAAGUGGGAAACGAUGUGGGAAGGCCCAGACAGCCAGGAUGUUGGCUUAGAAGCAGCCAUCAUUUAAAGAAAGCGUAAUAGCUCACUGGUCGAGUCGGCCUGCGCGGAAGAUGUAACGGGGCUAAACCAUGCACCGAAGCUGCGGCAGCGACGCUUAUGCGUUGUUGGGUAGGGGAGCGUUCUGUAAGCCUGCGAAGGUGGCCUGUGAGGGUUGCUGGAGGUAUCAGAAGUGCGAAUGCUGACAUAAGUAACGAUAAAGCGGGUGAAAAGCCCGCUCGCCGGAAGACCAAGGGUUCCUGUCCAACGUUAAUCGGGGCAGGGUGAGUCGACCCCUAAGGCGAGGCCGAAAGGCGUAGUCGAUGGGAAACGGGUUAAUAUUCCCGUACUUGGUGUUACUGCGAAGGGGGGACGGAGAAGGCUAUGUUGGCCGGGCGACGGUUGUCCCGGUUUAAGCGUGUAGGUGUGUGUUCCAGGUAAAUCCGGUUCACUUUAACACUGAGGCGUGACGACGAGGCACUACGGUGCUGAAGCAACAAAUGCCCUGCUUCCAGGAAAAGCCUCUAAGCAUCAGGUAACAUCAAAUCGUACCCCAAACCGACACAGGUGGUCAGGUAGAGAAUACCAAGGCGCUUGAGAGAACUCGGGUGAAGGAACUAGGCAAAAUGGUGCCGUAACUUCGGGAGAAGGCACGCUGACACGUAGGUGAAGUGAUUUACUCAUGGAGCUGAAGUCAGUCGAAGAUACCAGCUGGCUGCAACUGUUUAUUAAAAACACAGCACUGUGCAAACACGAAAGUGGACGUAUACGGUGUGACGCCUGCCCGGUGCCGGAAGGUUAAUUGAUGGGGUCAGCGCAAGCGAAGCUCCUGAUCGAAGCCCCGGUAAACGGCGGCCGUAACUAUAACGGUCCUAAGGUAGCGAAAUUCCUUGUCGGGUAAGUUCCGACCUGCACGAAUGGCGUAAUGAUGGCCAGGCUGUCUCCACCCGAGACUCAGUGAAAUUGAACUCGCUGUGAAGAUGCAGUGUACCCGCGGCAAGACGGAAAGACCCCGUGAACCUUUACUAUAGCUUGACACUGAACAUUGAGCCUUGAUGUGUAGGAUAGGUGGGAGGCUUUGAAGCGUGGACGCCAGUCUGCGUGGAGCCGACCUUGAAAUACCACCCUUUAAUGUUUGAUGUUCUAACGUGGACCCGUAAUCCGGGUUGCGGACAGUGUCUGGUGGGUAGUUUGACUGGGGCGGUCUCCUCCUAAAGAGUAACGGAGGAGCACGAAGGUUGGCUAAUCCUGGUCGGACAUCAGGAGGUUAGUGCAAUGGCAUAAGCCAGCUUGACUGCGAGCGUGACGGCGCGAGCAGGUGCGAAAGCAGGUCAUAGUGAUCCGGUGGUUCUGAAUGGAAGGGCCAUCGCUCAACGGAUAAAAGGUACUCCGGGGAUAACAGGCUGAUACCGCCCAAGAGUUCAUAUCGACGGCGGUGUUUGGCACCUCGAUGUCGGCUCAUCACAUCCUGGGGCUGAAGUAGGUCCCAAGGGUAUGGCUGUUCGCCAUUUAAAGUGGUACGCGAGCUGGGUUUAGAACGUCGUGAGACAGUUCGGUCCCUAUCUGCCGUGGGCGCUGGAGAACUGAGGGGGGCUGCUCCUAGUACGAGAGGACCGGAGUGGACGCAUCACUGGUGUUCGGGUUGUCAUGCCAAUGGCACUGCCCGGUAGCUAAAUGCGGAAGAGAUAAGUGCUGAAAGCAUCUAAGCACGAAACUUGCCCCGAGAUGAGUUCUCCCUGAGACUUAGAGUCUCCUGAAGGAACGUUGAAGACGACGACGUUGAUAGGCCGAGUGUGUAAGCGCAGCGAUGCGUUGAGCUAACCGGUACUAAUGAACCGUGAGGCUUAACCUUACAACGCCGAAG